Molecule: long non-coding RNA, 11271 nt
Organism: Clupea harengus (Atlantic herring)
Lineage: Eukaryota; Metazoa; Chordata; Actinopteri; Clupeiformes; Clupeidae
Source: Ensembl
GGAAACAAAAGCCUUACAGUAAUGAAAAACUCAAUACAAUACUUUUAUCUUUGUCAAAGAAAACAAACUUUGAGAAAUUGGAUGUUACAAAUAGAAUGUGGCCAUCAGCUGCUGGGGAAACUAUAAGACUCUACUGAGGCCAUGACUCGCUGAGUUCUCAGUAGCGUGCGCACUGUACCACAGGGACUAACAUGAACAUUGUACAAUACCAGAAGCACACAUACGCCACAACCACCACACUGAGAAACACACACAACAAAUGCAGAAAGAAAAGAGUCUUUUUAUUUAAAAAAAAAAAUUCCACAAAACAGACUGUUCAAGGUGGGAAAACACAGAAGAGCAACUCAAAAACAUUAUCAGGAUUGUUGUUUUCUUCCUUAAAAGUUAACACUGACUUUUCACAUAAAAACUGCCACAACCUUCUAUUACAUUUUAACAAUAUAUUAGAUUUGUUUAUAAUCUACUAAAAACGUCAAUAAAAACCUGUGAGCAACUGAAGCCUUUCCAACUAUUUUGACAAUAGUAUUUACAUUUACAUUUUUCAGUGCAUUUUUACAUUAAUUUUGCAUUUCAUUUUGAAAUGUUUAACACAAUACACAACAGUUACUGCUAAUUCAUAUGAUCGCUUUAAAAGACAUGGCAUUUCUCAAGACAACAAGUGCUAGGUUAGAACAGCCUGUUAUAAGGCACUGUCAAAAUUACGUUGACCUGAUCUAAAAGCAGCAAUACGGAGUUCUGUUCCAAAAACUAGUAAGCUAACUACCUAAAAGGCAUGCAAAAACCUUGCAAACACCACCAACAGCUGACACUGAUAGAAGCUUGCCAACACACUAAGGGCCUUUAACUGGUGUAUUUUGGCAGUUUAGCUGGCAAUGUCAUGCGUGUAUAAGCUUUUCUUCCAUUUUUGCAGGGUGUACCAGCCCGUUAAACAGAACUACAUAGGGCAUAUCCUGGAUGGCUAGUGGGGAAGACACAGGUGUUUAUCUGUCCUUCACAUGACCAUAUGCUAUCAAAAUGAAUUUGAGGAUGGUACCAAAACUAGUUGCCUAUAAAGCCAUAUCUCAAAAAGUGUCAAAUUGUUGCAUAGUGUUACUUCAAAUGACAUAUGUGACAUUUAUGAAACACAUGUUACACUUUUUUUUUAUGAUCGUGUAAGAAUAUUUCUGAGGUACUGUGGUAUGUGAGUAAUCCACGCUGUGGGCCCUUAGGGUUGUGAGCACACAGAGACACACACUGCAGCUUUUGCACUCUGUUGAAGGGUACUGUAUGGGUGGGCAUUGGGCACACUGGCACUGGGCAGACAGUGUAGUAGGGGGCAUAAACACAAACAUUUACAAAUGUAGUUUACAUUUACAUAUAACAUAUAACAUAUGCACAGGUCCGAGGUGUGAGGAAAUGGUGUGUGUUUGGUAAUGUUUUUCAGAUUUUUGAACAAGUACAAUUCUUCACCUCCCUGUGGAUCUUAUAGGCUGUGGUUAGUGUCUACAGAAAUGGUCCCAAAGGCUAAAUUACCAAAAAGCUGUUUUGGAAACCUGCAACAUUUACCCCUGACAAAGUUGUUCAGUAUUAGGCUUUUCUGACAGACAAUAGGCACAGAAACUUAUUAGGCACAGGACACAGAUUAAUAAUGGCCAGAACUAAAUCUGCAAGCAUUGUGUGGUGUAACAGGCCAAUGGAAAAGUUCUAAAUAAAGCAUGCCUUCAAAGAACAUAAAACAAAAAAAGUAUCAAAUUAAGAUAACAUAACUAUUUUUCUUGACAAAUAUACCAGAUAGAUGAUAGAUAAUGAUAGAUCUGUCAUUGAUGAUAGAUGAUAAUGAUAGAUCUGUCAUUCAGGGUGCAUCUAAACAGGGUGUAAUAUUCUUCCUAAUCACAGACCACCUCAACACAAUCCCUCCAGCAGUGGAAGGAGAAGUAGCAACGGUUGCAAUUAAGAGGUUUCACACCUGUCUGACAUGUCUUCAUUGUUUGAGGUCCAGUGUUGAAAAGUGGGACCACUCUGAUUUCUAGUACAGGACGGGAAGACGGUGGUAGUGGUGUUCGUAGUGGACGUGCUGAAAGAGGUGGUGAAGUUGGUGAAGUUGGUGAAGUCGGUGAAGUCGGUGAAGUCCUUGAAAAAGUCACCCAUGUUAUUGAACUGGAACUGGGGCUGGGGCUGGGGCUGGGGCUGGGGCGAAGACUCAACAGAUGAGGGAGGAGAAGGGGCUGAUGGGAUAGUUUCAAAUGAGAGUCAGGUGAUGGUUCUGUUAGUGACAAAUACCACUAAUAUUAUUAUUUGAAUCAUCAAAUGAUGGUUAUUAAUAGAAAACAGGAAGUGUGAAAAUAUAUGAAGGGCAAUCCUCACACUACUACAAACAUUAUUUAUGUUGUUUAAUUUUUAUGGAGGUGGCUGAUCUUUUCAGGGUUUGAUCUUUCUGGCUGGGGAGGAGAGGCAUCUUUGAUCACUGUGAAUAAAUAUCCAUUCACCCCACAUUUCCAUCACUCGAAAGACAGACCAUCAGUCAAUCUAUUCUGACCCACAGUUCAUUGAGACUGUCCUUCACAAAUACUUCCAAACGUGUCACGGCAUUGCCAAUUAAAGGUUGCAACUGUGUGUGUUUCUCCAUGUUUACCUCUGUUCCUAGUGUUGCCACAUGAACCACAAGGUAAUAGGAGUUAUAAGUAAAACACAUACCGUGUCAGAAGGACGGUGAGCCCCUGUCUCGUUGGUUGGCUCAGGCUGACUCACCUCUAUUCCACUAUAGGGCUAAACACACAACCACAUCAAAGGUCAGCAAUAACAGAAUGAGAAAAUGAUAAAACCAUACAAAAUAUACCACCGUAUAAUGAACAGGCAUUAAUGACAAAUACAAGUUCAAGUUAAACAACAAAAAAGCACACCUGCAUGGCACUGGCGAGCCGUAGCUGCUGGGGCAGAGGGGGUGCGGCUUUUGCCUUUGUUACAGCAGCACUUCCACACACACACGCCGAGCAGUAUGAGGAGCACUACAGGGAUCAGUGCCAAAAGAUACAUGUAGUAGGUCUGCUCUGUAGGCAGAAAAAUGGACAGAGAGAGAGAGAGAGAGAGAGAGAGAGAGAGAGAGGUAAAUACCAACAAACACUCAAAAUGAACAAACUCAAUACAUCAACAUUCAGUACCAACACUUAUAUGGGACGGAAGAAGUGAAAGCUACACAUGUGAGAACACAGGAAGUAGGCCACUGCUACGGGAAACAUACGGUAUGUACGUAGAAUCCUCAGAGCAACCAGAAUUCCAUCCUUGUCAAAAAACUGGUAUCUGCCUGCAUCACUCCUCUGUAUAUCAUCCAGCUCGAGGAUGAAUGCAUUCGGGCUGCCUCGCAACCGAAUCCGAUCCUCAAAGAGCCGUUUUCCCUCGUCCGUUUGUGUCCCUCCGCUAACAAUCCGGUAUUCCUCGCCUGGUUGUGGACUGAAAACCACCGAUAUUUCAUGGUCAGGGAUCUGAAGAUUGGUUCCCCAGAUGCCACUUCCAUACAGUUCCUCAUCCAUAUUGAAAGCCUGAACAUUGGCUGAAGUGAGAAUGUAGAGAAAGGAGAGAAAGAAAGAUAAAGGAAAGGAAAAAAUAUUCACAUUCUUUUAUGAGGGUCACACCAAAGAAAUUACCAUUACUACUAUUACCAAUACGAAUAUUACUACUAUUGCUACUAUUACUACCACUACCUUACUUCUCCUGGUCCCUUUUCCUCACCUGUAAUGGUCACCUGUGUUUUCGAGACCUCUGCCCCACUUUGUUUCCGGAAAGUGUAAGAACCCAUGUCAGCGGUGGUUGCCGCACGAACCAUCCAGUAGGACUCCUGAAUAACACCCUUGGAAACAUCGUCAUAGGAACUGGAGGUGUUCCAUAGAACCUCCCCUCUAUUCGGGGAAGAUGGAUGGACAAACUCUAGGAUGGAUGCCUCGUGGGGAACCUUCAAUUUCAAAGGUUGUCCGAAGCCAACCACCUGUGGCAUAGUACAGUCUAAGAGGGAAAAAAAGUGUGUAACAGAAAUCCACAUAUAUGAGCAAUAAAACAGCUUACAGGAUGAGAUCAAGUAAGACAAAUUGAACAUACUGCGCACAAAUUCAACGGCUCCAAUUCAUAUGAAGCAUAUAUUAUUUAAGGAGUCAAGUAGGCUGUGUCACAAUAAGCUUAAUUUGUAUAGCUACUGAUGGACUGCCAUAUAGUUCACCUCACCUUUAAUCACAAGUUUGAGGACCGUGUGAAAAUUCACGUCAACCCCCCAAGAGAAAAUCCCUGUGUCUGUCUCCCGUAAUUCGGAAAUGAAGAGCGUCUGAUCCUUGAACUUGUAAUGAUCGUCUGUCGGCUGAGUUAAAGCACAAGUGUCAACAUGUUGCUAAGAAGACAACAAGCAACCUGUCUCAACUCCUAUAGGCCUACCCAUUCACAAACUUCUUACUUGUGACUUGUAAGAUCUCAUUUGAAUAAACGUACAAUGACUUGUACAAAUUAAUGUAUAUUUGUAAAUAUAUACUUUAUAAUUUGUAAAUAUAAAUCAUACUCUACCUGUGCAUUUGUCAUAAAAUGUAAGUUGUAAAUAUGUAGUUCUGCGUGUAAAGUGUUGAAUCGCCAAGUACCAUAAGAUCCACAAAAUCCAUAAGUGCAGCACUUUUAUCUGUAUGGCUUUACAAACAUUAGAUAAAUGUUCAAUUUGUUGACACUUGCCAGGAUCCAUUUCAGCUUUGUGGAAGUUUGUUGACGCUCGCUGUAACAUUAACUUAUCCUCAACCAAGAACAUCAAAGAGCAAUUAUUGUUGCUUAAGGUAGCCUACUACAUACUCUACGGCCUGAAUCAAACAAGACUGACAUCUAGAGGUCGCUCCAUCGCCUUUGUGUGAAGGGGGAGACACAUUUGUGUGGAUCGCAAGAAAGUACAAAUAAUUCUCAAAAUUCUCAAAAUGAAGUCAGUCGAAACUGGCAUGAAUGCGUGAAUGGAUCUAUAACUCGUUGGAUAUUUGUGGAUCAUGGUACAAUAAUUGAAUUUGAGAAUAAUUAUUUGAGACAUUAGCCCCUCCACUAAACACACACGCGCGCAAAAACACGCACACUCGCACAGACAUAUCUUACCUGCGUUUUGUUGAGAACCAUUACAGCCUUGGCUGAAGGAGACUGUGGUGUGAAAUAUAGAUCUGACAUUUCGGGAUCAUAUGCAAGUGAACGGGGUAUGUAGAAUGACGUUCCAGGGCACAUCCCAUAUAUUUGCUUGGAAGCAGCUGGAGAGCAAAACAAUUCUCAAUCACAAAUGGUCUCCAACAGGUCAUUCCUACACAUAAAGUCAUACUGAGAAAGAAAGAUGUCUACUAACCGACACAGGUCACAAUGCAAAGGAAGUGGAACAACCCAAACAUCUGUAAAACAUCAACAGCAAAACACCAGAGAAAGUCGUAAGGACCAUGCAAAGUUCGUUUUAGGAACCAUGUUAUGCGGAACUAGGAAAUGGCUUUCGAUUACCGUUUGCACACACAUGCCGAUCGAAAAGAGUGUACUUACGAUUGUAGAGUUAUCUGAAGGUAUUAUGUUACAGAUAUUUCUAGUUUCAGAUGGGAGUCUUGUUGUCACCUAUGUGGAUCUCACCAUGUUGGAAACAUAGGACAACCAUGCAUACUCCGUCCCCUCAACCAAAUGGGAGGAGUGUAGUGUCUCUACUCUGCUAUAUUCCGGUUUCCGCUAAGGACACAGCAGUUCGGGAGCAACUAAUGUGCUGUGGUGAGGGCAAUGUUUGGGCAAGCUAAAGGCUAGAUUAAUGAUAGCUAGCAGCCAAGAUGGUGAAAAUAAAUGGUAUAGAGACGUUGCUCAUGUGACUGCGGGUGGUCAGGGCGAUAUUAAAACGAUUUUUCUCAAGAACGAGGGCGUGGUUUGUUGGUGUACUGACUGACGUGAGUUCCAGUUGAUAACAACCUUUUCCAGCAUGGACUCGAUGCACCUAACACACGUCUGAAGUGCACUUGAAUUGUGUGUAUACUCCAAGCAAACAAAACUAACCAUGAUGUACCGCUUGUUUUCCGCCUUGGGUGUUCUAUUCGGAAUGGCCUCAGCGGGGGUCUUUUAUGGCUUAGGGCCAGAGCCAAAGACGAUAUGUCCUGGGAUGCCAUUCACUUUUACACGGACAUAUAAGAUAAGAGCAGACUUGAUGUACUACAAGAACGGGGUUGAGAGGAAGGUUGCCACUACCAAGGAGAUUAUAGACUCCCAGUUUCGGUUCAAUGGCAGUGAACCUUAUAUACCCGAGGUAAUGAAAGUGCAUGAAGGGGGUUAUUAUUGGAAGGCUUUCUCUACCGAUUUUAAACUGGAUCACAUCACACUAAUUCUGAAAGACUGCAGUGUUCGUCAAAAUGUGGUGUACGGUGAGGAGUUGGCCUUAAAUGUGCCGGCGGACGCGUCUGUGUUGGAGUUCACCCCUCACCUCUCAGACCAACACUCCGUCCUGUGGAGACGGAUACACAGAGGGGGGGACGAGGAAGCAAGGGGCGCGGUUAAGGACGGCCGCUGGACAGCACAGAGGAUGACCCAAGCGGAUCAGGGGCGCUACACUUUACUCAGGGAGAGUGGUGGCCAGAUCUCCAGCACUGUGGUCUCUGUUGAAGGUAAGACCAAUGAAGCGCGUGCUGAGAAUAUGGGACAGAUGAUUGCCAGAAUAGUAAAAGAAGACAAGGUGUUGCCAUAUUUCUCUGUAAGUAACUUCUACUUCUGGUUUAUAUGAGUUGAGAUAACUUUCAAAAACCUUGAGAUUCACAAAUAGGACUGAUUUGCGAAUAUCACAAAUAUGAUUGAAAUAUUUGUGCCAUCACUUGUCUUCAUUGAUUAGAGGAAAACUAUGCCACAUAUACUAUAUGCCGUUUGACAUGUUUAAUGAGAUACAGGAAUUGUUUUGCUUUGAAGAGUACAUUUUAGCGCCUCCCUUUUUCAAGCAUGUUCACCUCAAUUUCACAUUUGUUUAUGAUUUCCUACACUUCCCAGAAUGCAUUUCAACCACUACUAGCUAACAAUUGCAAUUGCUGAUUUGUCUGUUGUAGCCUGGUUGCAGUUUCAUUUAGUCUUCUUUAGUUGGAUUAUUCUGAGUAUGAUUAUUAAAUGUUGCCUCAAAAAAGUGUUGGAAAAGAGAAGCCCUUGCAUUUCUCUUUCAUGGUUAUAACACCACAACAGUGGCUACCAUUUUCGAUUGUGUCGGAAAAAACAUCUUCUAAAUUCAUUGUAGCCGGAAAGGACAUGUCCUUUAGUGGCAUCACUAUGGUUACUCAUGUCCCAUGCGGCUCCAUCUGCAGUGUGUGUUCUAGAAACACGGUAGGUAAAUCCGGGACUCCUUUACCACUCCUAUGAGAGGCUUUAGUGUAGCGGUAGUCUGGUGGGAGACAGACAUGACUUCAUGAUCAGCACCUCAUGAUGAGCGAGUUCACAAUCUGGAGACAAUUUACACACCUAAACUGUGGACACACUGUCAAAAAGUAGGCUAUUAAAGAGGUGAGCUCAGUGGACAUUUAAAAAAUAUUUCAAAAUUGUUGUCUUCUUCUUCUUCGGUGAUCUUACCUGUUUUAUGCCCCUUUGAUUGUGUGGUCUAUUAAAUACGAUUUCAAUUUUGUAUUAUGUAUUAAAGCACUUUGAGCUGCAUUCUUCGCAUGAAAAGUGCUAUAUAAAUAAAGUGUUUCUCACUUAUUUACAGUAUUUUGUAACCAAGAUAUGUUUCCCUUCUGUCUUGUUUGUUUUUCUCCCUGCAACUUCAGAACUCCAAAUACAUGCUCACGUGGCUGAUGACGACGUCAGAGAUCACUGGAGAACUGAUGUUAAUAUCUCUGCACGGGAGGCUGUAGUCACUUACUUUACGGCUUUCGGGGGUGAGCAUGUGCUCUUCCGAGACGGCAUGGAGACUGAUGAGGGCUUCGACAUUUUUGGAAAUCGUAUCACACUCCAAAAGUCAACGCUCCAAAAGUCAACUUUCAGCAUCAGCAAAGCGCAGCCAAGUGACGCAGGACGAUACGAGAUCCAUGACAAGAAUGGACAUCUGGCCAUCUCACUGUAUCUGGAGAGAGACCCUGAGUUUGAUCUUAAGAGUUUAGCCACUCCCCUUGGCAUAUCUGCGGGCGUGCUGGCAGGACUGCUGUGCUGUUGCUGGUGCUGUUGCAAGUGCUGUAGUGAUGACGACGGUGACAAGACUGAGUCCGCCGCUGCUUCUCCAGACACCGAGCAACUCGCCCACGUCCAUGUAAGCGUAUCUACGUUGGCCAACUUUUGGGGUAGAUUCAGAAGGGGAAAGUCUUAGGGUUAGGGUCCUCUGCAACAUCUGUCGGCCAAGGAUAGAUGUGGGAUCGGUAUUAAAACCGGAAGUGACAAUGUAAUUCCGACAAGUGAUCACACCCGUUGUGUAAAAUAUGCGAAUGUCAGCACAUUUGAUUCUUAAAGAAAAGCCUUUGGUAACAGCAAGUAACGAACUAGUCAGUUGGCGAGCCACUGGAUAGCUAACAAGCUAGCUAAACCUAGAGUUUGGGGUGAUGUGCUCUGAGUGCAAAAACAAGAUGCAGACUAUCAAAUUAAUUUUUACACAUGUAAAUAAUUAUAAAGACUUCUUAUCAGUGCUAUUGAGUACACCACAUACCGCAGCAAAUUACAAAUGCAUACAUUAAACAAAAAUGAAGUACUCACUCCCGGUUUUAAUACCCAUCCCAUGGAAAUACGGAUCCUUGGCCGACAGCCUGAACGAAGUUCAGUUCUUUUGAGUUAAUGUAGGGCCUUUGUGUUUUGACAGCAUCAGAAAAUGUUGUGGCAUUUAUUCCUCUGCAGCAUCCUCAUAGCUCACUGUCACUCCACAACAGAAGGGUAGGGUCAUACUUAGAGUAGAGUUGAUUCACAGUUACAAGUAGGACCAAGGUUGAGGAUUCAAAUGACUGAAUUAAUUAAUUAAUGAAUGAGUGAACUAAAUUGCCAUUAGGGAAUUUGUCCUCUACACAGCACAACCCAUUAAGGCUUUACAGGUUAAACAAUAUGCAACACAAUACAGAAAAGACAGCUAUGUUCCUGUUUUUUUCUUACCAAGUUUCCAUUUUGUAACAGGAUCCCAGUGAGAUGUCUGGACCCGGCGACCCCUUGCAACCUCCAUCAUCUGCUCCCUCUUCAGGUGACACCAAUGAACUAACGGCCUCCAUGGCGUACCCCCCCAACCCCUGGGAGAACAGUCCACCUCCUUACUUUCCUGACCCAGCGUCAAGGCCACACAGCAUAGUGGUCCCCGUGGAGCCACGCGUCCCUGAGUGGGUUCCCAGCGUCCCUGAGUGUGUUCCCAGCGUCCCUGAGUGUGUUCCCAGCGUCCCUAAGUGUGUUCCCAGCGUCCCUGAGUGUGUUCCCAGUCCGUACAGUUCAGCAGCUCCCACUGCUCCUCCUGAGGCUCCUGAUGGAGGAGGAGGAGGUGAUCGUGGUGCUCCCACCGCCCCUUCUGCACCCCCCGACCCUGGGCCGCAGUACCAGUCGAGAGCCUGGGGUAGUGGCCAGGAUGACUUUCUCUCCAGCUCUCCUCUCUGCAUGGACAGCGCCACCGACAGCUGCACCUUCACCUCAAACAAUCUCAACUUCUAGACCGAUGCGUUCCGUUGACAACUCGGGAUCGAUGGAGCAUUUUCACACGCAGUGCACUGUGACUUGUGUUGCGUCCUACUGACUGGUACGCUGUGAUUUGGUAGUUUCACGCUCAAAGACAACGCGCACUACCUCAUUUGCACUGGGCCUGUUCUGCUGCAGUGCUGGAGUGGAUCUGUCAAUACCACAGACUCUCACGCCAUCCAAAGGGCCACCUUCUUUCUUUGACCUGUUUCUCUGUGUCUAAUGUCUGUGAGUCUGUUCGUGUCUGCUAGUGUCUUAUGUCCCUAUCUCAUGUAAGUAGGCCAUUUCAUGUAUCCUUUUCUUAGCUUGCUAGAAUUGGUAGCAAUGCAAGUCUGUGUUAUUUUACAUAUUUAUCACACAGGAUUGUAAUGUUCUUACUGCCUGAUCAGGUCCAAUCUCAUUCACAAGCCUUGGUGUUUUUUUGUGUCUUUUUAUGUAUGCGAUUUUAUCUCACUUUGUUGUAACUUUAUAAUGGUGGAUAAUGAAAAGACAUUUUCAGUCCCAAACGUGCUCUAAAUGCCCAUGUAAGGCCUCCAGUAUCCAAAAGUGGCCUUAUCCUAUCUCAGUGCAAUUAAUCAUGUUGUUGUUUAUUUCUGUUUACACUGUAACACCCUGAAACCAUUACUAUGUUUACAAAUGACUAUUUAACACUUUAACACAAAGUAACAGUCUGGGGCGGUCAACUCAUUUUGAAUGAUAUUAUACUGUCUAGGUUUGGUGUACACCCUGAUUAAAAAGAUGACCCCCCCCCCCCACCACCAUCACCAAAUGUCAUGUCAUUACAUAAUUCACUCUGCCUGAAAUCUUUCCACAUGUAUUUAGAUGUAAGCCAUUAUGUGAAAGUGCCACAAAUUACAGCCAUGUUUAGAUAUUGGUAGGUUUCACGUACAAGCCAUAUAAAUUGAUCCCCUCAUGUAGUCUCAGAUACCAUUAGACUUGAUUGUUGGCUUUUGUCUACAGCCACAACAAGAUGUUUGGAGCCAGGCAUAUUAGCAUUUUGAUUGCCAUGGUCAAGCUAGACCCCCACCUGCCUGGCAUUCACACACCCCUAUACCCCUUUCCUUACAUGCCCCUACCUCACACCUUGAACUAGGACAUACCCACCCCCUCUCCUUAUUCUUUACACCUAACACAGAACUUCCUCCCCAGACCUGUAGGUAAUCGUUUAUGCCAUUUUUUAGUAUGUUAAUUAUGUAGUCCUAUAAGGGAUAAAUUUUUUUUUUUAACAAACAAACAAACAAGGCUGACUCACGUAAGUUUUUUUAUUGCACAAGCGACACACACGUGGUUAUGGAGAAGACACAGGACACACACACACACGCAGGCCUCAGGUCACUGUGAAUGUAAUCUCUGCAUUUAACCCAUCCCGGACUGUCUUUCCUCCAGGACCCCAGGAGCAGUGGGCAGCUUUUCAGCGCCCGGGGACCAAGUGAACCGUCUGUCUUGGUCAGGACGGACAGGAGAGUGUUCUGUUCUUUUUGCAUGUUUUUCUGUUGGGGUUCUUAGUGGAGGAAACCCCUUGUGAACACGUGGAGAACAUGCAAACUCCACACAUAAUUAUGUUACCAUUCAUAACAGGGCGGCAAAGACAGUGGAAGAUAACCGCUAACUUGUAACUUGUUGCUGUGAGUUAGAAAUUCCGAGGCUAAAACUUUGUUGGAAUAAACAGAU